RNAcentral lists this unclassified non-coding RNA (377 nucleotides) under uncultured fungus. RNAcentral describes it as "sequence contains ITS1". The stretch from base 1 to 107 matches the Rfam family "5.8S ribosomal RNA", at positions 50 to 154 of the family's 154-position model. Lineage: Eukaryota; Fungi. The record is from RNAcentral.
GAAAUGCGAUACUUGGUGUGAAUUGCAGAAUCCCGCGAAUCAUCGAGUCUUUGAACGCAAGUUGCGCCCGAAGCCAUUAGGCUAAGGGCACGUCUGCCUGGGCGUCACGCAUCGCGUCGCUCCCCCAACACCGUGCAUGAAACACUGUCGGUUGUCGGAGGGACGGAUAUUGGCUUCCCGUGCUUCGGUGCGGCUGGCCUAAAUGCAUGUCCCUUGCGACGGACACGACGACAAGUGGUGGUUGAUUACCUCAACUCAGUUGCUGUCGGACGUUGACCCGUCGGAUGAGGAGACUUCCUUGACCCUAAUGCAUUCGUCAUCACGACGUCUGCCACGACCGCGACCCCAGGUCAGGCGGGAUUACCCGCUGAGUUUAA